UUUACGUGGACUCGUGUCGGUUCGAGAC
RNAcentral lists this non-coding RNA (28 nucleotides) under Bombyx mori (domestic silkworm). Lineage: Eukaryota; Metazoa; Arthropoda; Insecta; Lepidoptera; Bombycidae. The record is from RNAcentral.